RNA transcript from Arachis stenosperma, 4132 nucleotides. It is a transcript of the gene named pentatricopeptide repeat-containing protein At5g39680, with no coding region annotated. The record is from RefSeq and is a predicted model, not a curated record. Lineage: Eukaryota; Viridiplantae; Streptophyta; Magnoliopsida; Fabales; Fabaceae. The transcript is spliced from 5 exons.
UCCUAACGAAAUUUGCACAUACGGCUCCCUCCGUGCUCCACCUUGCAAAUAUAACAGGUAUGGCAAUGUUUAUUCUGCUUUCCCAAGUCCCAACAGAAAUAAAAAGACACAUUUUUCAAUAAAACAUCCCAAGAUGAUGAAACUUAUGAUUAACAACGAUGAAGCCCAAGCACUCAUCCGUCAUCAAUCCAUAAAACCAUAAUUUACCAUAAAACCAUAAUUUACAGUUCUAAAGUUAAAAAUAAUCAUUUCAAAAGUUGCAACACAACCAAAAAAAGCCAGUUAAUACUUCCACAGAAUCCAUCACUCAGAUCCCCUUUGACAAAAUAUUCAAAACACCAGCUGAUUGUUUUCAAUUUCAGAAAGUGGCACAUCACUCACCACUAACAUCCCAUUUUUUUUUCUCACCGCAAAAUCAACAUAAAACAAAAAUCUCAAACCCUUGAAAAACCCAGGAAAAAAAGGCGAUCGGUGAAUAAGUAAAUAACGCAGCAGCCCCCGUGCAGAGAAGAAGAGAAACCAGGUUGCGAAGAGGAAGUUCAGAUUCUUGGAGUCGAAGAGGGAGAAGGUGUGUUGGGGUUGCGGCGGAUACGACGGAGGAGGAGUGGUGGCGGGGAAUCUGGUUCUGCAUUUUUUUUUAUUUCUCCUUUUUGCAUUUUCUUUUUGGUGAGUUCUCCUUUUUUUUUUUUUUGAAUUCUCUAGUCCCAGCGAAGGAUCCCCCUCCCCAACCCACUCUCUCACUCUGAAAGUCUGAAACGGGCUAAAGGGGAGAACGUGGCGCCUCAACCUUCUCCCUCUCACCGCACGGUCGCCGGCUCGUCUGCGUCCGCCAGCUCCUGCGCCUUCACUGUUGUCACGUCGUCUGUACCUCCGUCCGCAUCUGUCGCCUCCGUUCGCGUCACGUCGACCCUGCGCAUUCACUGCGUCACCUUGCCGGUCUGUGCUUCGAGGUGGCUCGCUUCUCUCCCUGCGGUCAAGGCGUCAACCUUCCUGAUGUUAUGUGAUAGUGUGAUACCAUGUGGCCAAAUUCUACAAGAAAGCCUGUGACAUAUUCGACUCUGAGUAUAGUCUAUGUAUAUUUGGGACUUUUCAGGGCAAACAAACCAGUUAUUCAUCAAUGACAAAGUGACAAAUGAUUCUCUUUGUCAACUUGGAAAGGAGCCUCGUAGUUUGUAGCUUCCUCUUUGAAGAAGGGCAUGUUUCAGCACGAUUUCAAGAAACGAGGCUCCAUGAUCAGGACCUUAUGUGUUGAUUCCAGGCACAAGGAAGCCUUGUCCCUUUUCCAUCAAUACAUAAAGGGUUAUGCAGAUUUUAAACCCGAUCACAGUGUUGUUGCUUCGAUUCUCAAGUCUUGUUCUGCCCUAUUGGCUCUCAAAUUGGGCAGCCUCCUUGAAAGAGAGAUGUCCUGGACCACUAGACGAUGGGGGCCCACUUUCCCGACCGCCGUUAUGCUAUGUUCUUAGUAUAAACAGCUCUCCAUGGCUAUGUUGUUAAGCAGGGCCAUGGUGCUUGCCAGGUUACUAACAAAGCGUUGCUUAACAUGUAUGCAAAAUGUGGCAAGCUUGUUGAAUGUAAGAAGAUGUUUUAUCAGCUCAGCCACCGUGAUUCUGUCAUUUGGAACAUUGUUCUAUCUGGGUUUUCAGGGUCCAUGAAGUACAAUUCGGUUCUGAUGAGGAUGUUUCAGACAAUGCACUCCAAUGGGGAGGCUAAGCCCAAUGCAGUUACUGUUGCCAUUGUCCUUCCUGUUUGUGCUCGUUUAGGGGAUGUCGACGCUGGAAGGAGUGUGCAUGCUUACGUGAUCAAGUCUGGUUUUGAGGCGGACACUGUUGCUGGGAAUGCUCUUAUGUCAAUGUAUGCAAAGUGUGGACUGGUAUCUCAUGAUGCAUAUGCUGUUUUUGACAACAUUGGUCACAAAGAUGUUGUUUCGUGGAAUGCAAUGAUUGCAGGUCUUGCUGAGAAUCUCUUGUUUGAAGAUGCAUUUACAUUGUUCAGUUCAAUGGUGAAAGGGCCAACACAACCAAAUUAUGCCACUACAGCAAAUAUUCUGCCUGUUUGUGCGUUGCUUGGUGAGAACGUUGCAUACCAGUAUGGAAGGCAAAUCCACUCUUAUGUGCUGCAACGGGCUGAACUGUCGGCUGAUGUUUCUGUGUCCAAUGCUUUGAUUAGCUUCUACAUAAGAGUUGGUCGGAUGAUGGAAGCGGAAUCUUUAUUUUGGGCAAUGGAUGCAAGGGACUUGGUCUCUUGGAAUGCUAUUAUUGCAGGAUUCACAUCAAAUGGUCAAUGGUUUAAAGCGUUGAAUCUAUUGAGUAAUUUAGUAUCUCGAGAGAUGCUAUUGCCUGAUUCUGUGACUAUUGUUAGCAUACUUCCACUUUGUGCUCAAUUCAGAAACUUGCAGGUAGGGAAACAGAUCCAUGCAUAUAUCUUUAGACACCAUUAUCUUUUUGAAGAUACUACUGUUGGGAAUGCUUUAGUUAGUUUCUAUGCAAAAUGUGGCAAUACAGAGAAAGCAUAUCAUACUUUCAAUAUGAUACCUAGGAAAGAUUUGAUUUCAUGGAAUUCUAUUCUUGAUGCCUUUGGAGAGAAGAGGCAUCAUUCAAGAUUUCUCAGCUUGUUACAUACAAUGCUUAAACUUGGAAUUAGACCUGACUCAGUUACAGUAUUGGCUACCAUCCAUUUUUGUGCUUCUCUCUUGAGAGUAGAAAAGGUUAAAGAAAUACACACCUAUUCAAUUAAGGCUGGAUUUCUAGUUAGUGACACUGCUCCUGCAGUUGGAAAUGCAAUACUUGAUGCAUAUGCUAAAUGUGGUAACAUGGACUAUGCUAAUAGAAUGUUUCAGAAUCUAUCAGAGAAAAGGAAUCUGGUCUCGUGCAAUUCGAUGAUUUCAGGUUAUGUGGGUUUAGGAUCACAUCGUGAUGCAAAUAUGAUUUUUAGUGGGAUGUCUGAGACAGAUCUUACCACCUGGAAUCUUAUGGUUCGAGUAUAUGCCGAAAAUGAUUGUCGGGAUCAAGCUCUCAUACUGUUCUACAAGUUACAAGCUCGAAGGAUGAAGCCUGAUGAGGUGACUAUCAUGAGCAUCCUUCCGGUAUGCACACAAAUGGCAUCGGCACACUUGCUAACACAAUGUCACGGCUAUGUCAUUCGUUCUUGUCUUGAGGAUCUUCACCUAAAAGGAGCCCUCUUAGAUGCAUAUGCAAAAUGUGGUAUCAUAGGCUGUGCGAGUAAGCUAUUUCGCGCAAGUGCUACUAAGGACUUGGUUAUGUUUACUGCUAUGAUUGGUGGGUAUGCCAUGCAUGGUAUGAGUGAAGAAGCACUUGGAAUUUUUUCUGAUAUGCUUAAAAUGGGAAUCAAGCCAGAUCAUGUUAUCUUCACUUCUGUAUUAUCAGCUUGCAGUCAUGCUGGCCGUGUAAACGAAGGUCUGAAGAUAUUUUAUUCAAUGGAGAAAAUCCAUGGUAUGCAGCCAAAUGCAGAACAGUAUGCUUGCGUGGUGGAUCUCCUUGCUCGAGGUGGCCGAGUUAGGGAAGCAUAUUCUCUCGUCACCAAGAUGCCAAUUGAAGCUAAUGCCAGUCUUUGGGGGUCAUUGCUUGGUGCCUGCAAAAUCCAUCAUGAAGUUGAAUUGGGGCGCAUUGUAGCCAGCCAUCUGUUCAAAAUCAAAGCUGAUGACAUUGGAAACUACAUUGUUUUAUCGAAUUUGUAUGCAGCAGAUGCUAGAUGGGAUGGGGUCAUGGAGGUUAGAAAGAUGAUGAAGAAUAAAGAUUUGAAAAAGCCAGAAGGAUGCAGUUGGAUUGAAGUUGAGAGGAAACAUAACAUAUUUGUGGCUGGGGAUUGUUCCCACCCACAUAGAAGCAUUAUUUACAAUACUCUAUCUACAUUGGAUCAACAAAUUAAAGAUAUAUGUAAUUAAGUACCAUAAAACUGUCGGCACUCAAAUAAUCACAUAUUCACACCAAGAAAAAGUAGUAGUAUGAUAAAUAUACAAUUUACAUAGAGCAAAGGUUCUUUCAUCUUCUAGGCGACCUAUAUUCACUAGCAAGAGUGAAGUUCUAAUCUCAGCUUGCUACCUUGGCCUAAGCCAGCAGUUUGGCCUUCAUCAGUUCCUACAGAUGCCUCAGCACAGGUGCUUGAGAAAGAAAAG